GGGUUGUGAGGUUAAGCGACUAAGCGUACACGGUGGAUGCCCUGGCAGUCAGAGGCGAUGAAGGACGUGCUAAUCUGCGAAAAGCGUCGGUAAGGUGAUAUGAACCGUUACAGCCGGCGAUGUCCGAAUGGGGAAACCCAGUGUGAUUCGUCACACUAUCGUUAACUGAAUACAUAGGUUAACGAGGCGAACCGGGGGAACUGAAACAUCUAAGUACCCCGAGGAAAAGAAAUCAACCGAGAUUCCCCCAGUAGCGGCGAGCGAACGGGGAGCAGCCCAGAGUCUGAAUCAGCUUGUGUGUUAGUGGAACGGUCUGGAAAGUCCGACGGUACAGGGUGAUAGUCCCGUACACCAAAAUGCACAGGCUGUGAACUCGAAGAGUAGGGCGGGACACGUGGUAUCCUGUCUGAAUAUGGGGGGACCAUCCUCCAAGGCUAAAUACUCCUGACUGACCGAUAGUGAACCAGUACCGUGAGGGAAAGGCGAAAAGAACCCCGGCGAGGGGAGUGAAAAAGAACCUGAAACCGUGUACGUACAAGCAGUGGGAGCACCUUCGGGUGUGACUGCGUACCUUUUGUAUAAUGGGUCAGCGACUUAUAUUCUGUAGCAAGGUUAACCGUAUAGGGGAGCCGCAGGGAAACCGAGUCUUAACUGGGCGUUAAGUUGCAGGGUAUAGACCCGAAACCCGGUGAUCUAGCCAUGGGCAGGUUGAAGGUUGGGUAACACUAACUGGAGGACCGAACCGACUAAUGUUGAAAAAUUAGCGGAUGACUUGUGGCUGGGGGUGAAAGGCCAAUCAAACCGGGAGAUAGCUGGUUCUCCCCGAAAGCUAUUUAGGUAGCGCCUCGUGAACUCAUCUUCGGGGGUAGAGCACUGUUUCGGCUAGGGGGUCAUCCCGACUUACCAACCCGAUGCAAACUACGAAUACCGAAGAAUGUUAUCACGGGAGACACACGGCGGGUGCUAACGUCCGUCGUGAAGAGGGAAACAACCCAGACCGCCAGCUAAGGUCCCAAAGUCACAGUUAAGUGGGAAACGAUGUGGGAAGGCACAGACAGCCAGGAUGUUGGCUUAGAAGCAGCCAUCAUUUAAAGAAAGCGUAAUAGCUCACUGGUCGAGUCGGCCUGCGCGGAAGAUGUAACGGGGCUAAACUGUGCACCGAAGCUGCGGCAGCGACACUAUGUGUUGUUGGGUAGGGGAGCGUUCUGUAAGCCUGCGAAGGUGGCCUGUGAGGGUUGCUGGAGGUAUCAGAAGUGCGAAUGCUGACAUAAGUAACGAUAAUGCGGGUGAAAAGCCCGCACGCCGGAAGACCAAGGGUUCCUGUCCAACGUUAAUCGGGGCAGGGUGAGUCGACCCCUAAGGCGAGGCCGAAAGGCGUAGUCGAUGGGAAACAGGUUAAUAUUCCUGUACUUGGUGUUACUGCGAAGGGGGGACGGAGAAGGCUAUGUUAGCCGGGCGACGGUUGUCCCGGUUUAAGCAUGUAGGCGGAGGUUCCAGGUAAAUCCGGUACCUUUUUAACGCUGAGGUGUGAUGACGAGGCACUACGGUGCUGAAGUAACAAAUGCCCUGCUUCCAGGAAAAGCCUCUAAGCAUCAGGUAACAUUAAAUCGUACCCCAAACCGACACAGGUGGUCAGGUAGAGAAUACCAAGGCGCUUGAGAGAACUCGGGUGAAGGAACUAGGCAAAAUGGUGCCGUAACUUCGGGAGAAGGCACGCUGAUAUGUAGGUGAAGCCCCUGCGGGUGGAGCUGAAAUCAGUCGAAGAUACCAGCUGGCUGCAACUGUUUAUUAAAAACACAGCACUGUGCAAACACGAAAGUGGACGUAUACGGUGUGACGCCUGCCCGGUGCCGGAAGGUUAAUUGAUGGGGUUAUCCGUAAGGAGAAGCUCUUGAUCGAAGCCCCGGUAAACGGCGGCCGUAACUAUAACGGUCCUAAGGUAGCGAAAUUCCUUGUCGGGUAAGUUCCGACCUGCACGAAUGGCGUAAUGAUGGCCAGGCUGUCUCCACCCGAGACUCAGUGAAAUUGAACUCGCUGUGAAGAUGCAGUGUACCCGCGGCAAGACGGAAAGACCCCGUGAACCUUUACUAUAGCUUGACACUGAACAUUGAGCCUUGAUGUGUAGGAUAGGUGGGAGGCUUUGAAGCGUGGACGCCAGUCUGCGUGGAGCCAACCUUGAAAUACCACCCUUUAAUGUUUGAUGUUCUAACGUUGGCCCCUUAUCGGGGUUGCGGACAGUGUCUGGUGGGUAGUUUGACUGGGGCGGUCUCCUCCCAAAGAGUAACGGAGGAGCACGAAGGUUAGCUAAUCCUGGUCGGACAUCAGGAGGUUAGUGCAAUGGCAUAAGCUAGCUUGACUGCGAGCGUGACGGCGCGAGCAGGUGCGAAAGCAGGUCAUAGUGAUCCGGUGGUUCUGAAUGGAAGGGCCAUCGCUCAACGGAUAAAAGGUACUCCGGGGAUAACAGGCUGAUACCGCCCAAGAGUUCAUAUCGACGGCGGUGUUUGGCACCUCGAUGUCGGCUCAUCACAUCCUGGGGCUGAAGUAGGUCCCAAGGGUAUGGCUGUUCGCCAUUUAAAGUGGUACGCGAGCUGGGUUUAGAACGUCGUGAGACAGUUCGGUCCCUAUCUGCCGUGGGCGCUGGAGAAUUGAGGGGGGCUGCUCCUAGUACGAGAGGACCGGAGUGGACGCAUCACUGGUGUUCGGGUUGUCAUGCCAAUGGCAUUGCCCGGUAGCUAAAUGCGGAAGAGAUAAGUGCUGAAAGCAUCUAAGCACGAAACUUGCCCCGAGAUGAGUUCUCCCUGAGACUUUAAGUCUCCUGAAGGAACGUUAAAGACGAUGACGUUGAUAGGUCGGGUGUGUAAGCGUAGCGAUACGUUGAGCUAACCGAUACUAAUGAACCGUGAGGCUUAACCUUACAACGCCGAAG
Molecule: ribosomal RNA, 2926 nt
Filed under: Klebsiella aerogenes
Lineage: Bacteria; Pseudomonadati; Pseudomonadota; Gammaproteobacteria; Enterobacterales; Enterobacteriaceae
Description: bacterial LSU rRNA
Rfam family: Bacterial large subunit ribosomal RNA
Source: RNAcentral